Haplochromis burtoni (Burton's mouthbrooder) is the source of this 695-nucleotide non-coding RNA. NCBI's taxonomy places the organism in Eukaryota, Metazoa, Chordata, Actinopteri, Cichliformes, Cichlidae. The record is from the annotation of a RefSeq genome assembly.
UGGAGUUUAAGUUCUCCUUUCAAUGAGAGUCUGAACUGUUUUCAUGCACUCACACUGAAAACUGCAUCAAGAUGAUGUUGAUAGCAACUCUGACACUCGUGUUGGGUUUUCUAAUGCAAGAUUCCUUGGCCAAUAAAUUUCUUACUCAGGCUGAUAAAUCCAAACCUGUCAGUCUUGGUGGGACUGUGACCAUCAGCGCCACAGGAAGUUCAGAUAUUGGUGCUGAUCUCAGUUGGUACCUUCAGAAACCUGGACAGCCUCCCAAACUUCUUAUAUAUCAAGCAUCAACUCGCUCCUCAGGAACUCCGUCUCGAUUCAGUGGCAGUAGAUCUGGUUCUCAGUACACUUUAACCAUCAGUGGGUUUCAGGCUGAAGAUGCUGGAGAUUAUUACUGUAUGGGUGUGCAUACUGGUGGAGUAUGCGCACAGUGAUUUAGAGCUGCACAAAAACCUCCUUCAGUCUGAGUGAAGGCUGCAGGUGCAGAGUGCAGUGAAGAGACUGUGAUGAGAAUAACCAGUCCACUGAACACAACAAUAGAGUCAUCAAACACAUACACAAACUAAAAGUUUAUAAUAAGAAGUUUUAACAUAAAAAUGUAUAUCAUUUAAUUUUAUCUUUUCUAAAACAUGGCUGCUGCGAUGGAUGCAUUGAUAGAAAAAAAUAUUACAUCCCCAUAAUUUUCAGAUCAACAAUGG